Molecule: ribosomal RNA, 253 nt
Filed under: uncultured bacterium
Lineage: Bacteria
Description: partial 16S ribosomal RNA
Rfam family: Bacterial small subunit ribosomal RNA
Source: RNAcentral
UACGUAGGGUGCAAGCGUUGUCCGGAAUUAUUGGGCGUAAAGGGCGCGUAGGCGGCUUGAUGUGUCAAAGGUGAAAUCCCUCGGCUCAACUGAGGAACUGCCUUUGAAACUGUCUGGCUUGAGGCCGGGAGAGGGUAGCGGAAUUCCCAGUGUAGCGGUGAAAUGCGUAGAGAUGUGGAGGAACACCGAUGGCGAAGGCAGCCUCCUGGGCCAGCACUGACGCUCAUGCACGAAAGCGUGGGGAGCAAACAGG